Molecule: RNA transcript, 3354 nt
Organism: Thunnus maccoyii (southern bluefin tuna)
Lineage: Eukaryota; Metazoa; Chordata; Actinopteri; Scombriformes; Scombridae
Gene name: rab11 family-interacting protein 2
Exons: 10
Source: RefSeq, a predicted model, not a curated record
AGUGACGUCAGACUGGGAAGUGAAGCUCGCCGCUGGUCGACAGCAGCAGUGAAUAGCAAUGAACAGCAACAGCGGACACUAGCUGGCAUUUUGCCUCGUAAAGCCAUCGCAUGAAUGUUUUUGUAAAGCCAGUCUCUGCUGGGAUGAAGAGCUGAAUGUCCUGCGAGUGUCGGUGAUAAUGACACCGAGAUGACUCACCAGUGGCUUGGACAUCUGUGAUUUUACAGAAGAUGAGGCUUGCUCAGUUUGUCAGACUUGUCAUUACUUGUAAUGAUUGCUACUGUAGGCACAUAAACCACACUGACAUGGACAACAAACUAUUGUGAAUCAUGUUUGUUGCUUUUUGCACAUCACACUCACUAAAAAAACAAACGGCAUAAAUUAUCAUUUAGUUUGUUUUGAAUGGCUUUCAGUUAAUAAUCAGUGCUGACGAUGUCACUGGGUGAGCAGUCUCAAAAGUGGUUUCCAACCCAUGUCCAAGCCACUGUUCUUCAAGCAACCGGUUUACAGCCCAAGGGCAAAAAUGGCACCAAUGAUGCCUACACUAUCAUCCAGCUGGGCAAGGAAAAGUACUCGACAUCAGUGGCCGAGAAGACACUUAACCCUGUCUGGAGAGAAGAAGCCUCCUUCGAAUUACCUGGUUUACUUUUGGAGGGCAACCCUGAAGUGUAUGAACUCUGCUUCAUAGUGAUGCAUCGGUCCUUGGUCGGGAUGGACAAGUUCCUGGGUCAGAGGUCCAUCAACCUUAAUGAAAUAUUUGAUAAUAAGGAACGAAAGAAAACUGACUGGUAUUCCUUGGAGUCCAAGCCAGGGAAGAAGAGGAAAGAACGAGGCCGCAUCCAAGUCAGCAUCCAGUUCAUGAGGAACAACAUGACAGCCAGCAUGUUUGACCUCUCCAUGAAGGAAAAGCCCCGCUCGCCUUUCUCUAAACUGAAGGACAAGAUGAAGGGUCGCAAACAUGACAGCGGCUAUGGUGACACAUCUUCAGCCAUCCUGCCUCGCUCUGCUGUGUGCGACUCAGAGCCCAACCGCCAGUCGUUUGCCCCAGAACCACAGCCCCAGCCUGAAACCAAGGUCAAGAGGCCGCUACUUGCUGGGGCCCAUAAGCUCUCCGCAGCCCAUUCCAUGUCGGAUCUCAUUGGGACCCACUUUCGCCCCAAACUGGACUCCAUGAACUCCAUAGAGGAGAGUGGGAGCGCAGCCGGCCCUCACAGGCGUUCCCAGAGUGAGGUGCCAGGCUACCAGGACAGCGAGGCACACAGUGACCCUUUCACUGAUAUCAGUGACGCCCUGCCACAGAAGUAUGCCACGCUCCCACGCAACCGCAACCCAUUUGAGGGGGAGCACGGGCAGCUGUGGGACCGGGCAGAGCGGAAGGAGAAAAAGGAGAAGGUCAGCCUACUGGAACGAGUGACGGGAAAGAAAGAAGGCCGCAAGACCAGCAACGGGGGGCGUUCGGGUAGUUCUGGAGACUUGCGUUCCCCCAACCCCUUUAGCGGUGACUCGCAAGCAGACACCAACCCGUUCAGCUCCAACUACAAAGCCAGUGAUAAAAAGCCAACAGGAAAUGAAGACCUCACCUUUGGCCAAAGGAAGAAGGACGGCAAGAAAAAAGAGGUGACACAGGAAAGCGUGGCAGCCUAUAGAAACUUGUCCUUUGAGGAAGUUGUGCAGGAACUCAUCAAGCAGAAAGAAGUGGUGAAAAAGAAAGACGCCCACAUCAGGGAGCUGGAAGACUACAUUGAUAACCUACUUGUGCGCGUCAUGGAGGAAACGCCAAGCAUACUACGGACACCCUAUGAGCCAAAAAAGAAGCUGCCACGCGUCUGGUAUCAGGUGAACAAAGCCAGAUGACAACCAGAGGAAAGAGAGAAUGUCAACACCAAACAUCAAACAAGGGCCUGGCUGUUUCUGGGGAACAGGUCAAGCUCAUAGGACCACAGUCUUUCUUCAGUAAAGCUGCACAGGAGAGCUCUGCUGGAAUGCUGCUAAGCUGCAGAUGUACCAGCCAAAUUACUCCAGAGGGGAAUUACCAGGCCAUAAAUCCAGACGUCAGGAGGACGGCUGUAGCCUAUUUCACGAUGAUGGCAGUGGACAUUUUACAGUAGGAGGCACCGCCAGGAGGAUGUGACUUCACAGCACGCUAUACUAAAAGAAGAUAUUUAACCUGUUGCUUACAUGAAUCCACUUGUUGUUUUUGGCUUAGUUAUCAGAGAGUUAACAUCUUCCUCAAUUUAGCUGGAUGUUGUUGCUUACAUGCCUUCUUAAUGAAAACAACUAAUUUAAAAAUAUUACUUUUGAAACGGAAAACCAGAAUGUGCAGUAUAUAUAAAAAGGGCUUUGUUUGAUUGAGCUGUGCUAAGAAACUUUAUGUAUUGGUGGCACCAAAUUGUUAUAUGCAAAUUUUGAACAUCAGCACCCAGAAAUCAAGUACGUCUCAGAAAAGCACACAAAAGUCUACCAUCUAAUCUGUCUAAAUGUUCAUAUCACUUCCCUAAAUAUGAUUGAGUUCAGGGCAAACCUACUGCAUCCCAAUAAGAAAGGGUCGGGGCGCUCCUCUGUACUGCGCAUGUUUACAUGCAAAUGUUGCCAAUGGCAGGUGUAAUAGGUUUGGAAUUUGUUAGAUAUUCAACAUGGUGAAAACAUACAAUGAGUAUGCUUAGCUUUUUUUUUUAACAAACAUACCCUGGUUAAUGUGCUGCAGGUAGGAGCAGUUAGACAAAGGUUGCUGUGACCUUCUGGUUACAAUCAUACUUCUUCUCACUGCUAACUUCAUAUGGGAAAUGCUUUCAGAUGCCACUGCAGAAUCUCCUAUAAAUUAUUCAUGACAAUAAUGUCUAUGGUAGUUAUGUGGAAAGCAUCAGAGUGUGGUUACCAGUCAAGCCACUUGCUGACCACUCUUUUGUUUUGUUUUGUUUUGUUUUGUGAGGAGAUGAGUUGCUUUGCUGGUAGUGAUGGAGAUAUUCCUGUUUCUAAAGCGGCAUUAGCAGUUCAUCAUGCCAGGAAUGACGAGUGCAGACUCAGCAAACCUAUGAUGGAAUUUGAUAUGUGUGCUUAUUUAUUUUGAUCAAACCUGACAAUACUCAGAGGUAAACUGGUUGUUGAUCGUAUUUUGCUGUAAUGUUGUGUUAGUAGGAUUGAGUAUAACAUUUAACAUCUGUUACUGUUUCUACCAAAUAGUUUAGGGUUGUGGUGCUUAAUUGAUCUAAAAAAUAAAUUCCUCUGCAGCUAUUUUGAAUAUCAAUGGAUUGUUUCUGUCACUUUUCACACGGAAAUGCCAAAGAUUCUCAAAUUCCAGCCUCUCAGUAGCGAAGAUUUUCUGCUUUUGUUUGUCUUAUGUGAUAGUAAACUGAC